Molecule: ribosomal RNA, 1245 nt
Filed under: metagenome
Description: bacterial LSU rRNA
Rfam family: Bacterial large subunit ribosomal RNA
Source: RNAcentral
UGAAUACGAGGCACUAAGGUGCUGAAGUAGUGUAUGUCAUACUUCCAAGAAAAGCUUGCACUAUCGUAAGAUAAAAAUGCCUGUACCAUAACCGACACAGGUGGGUAGGUAGAGUAUACUAAGGGGCGCGAGAUAACUCUCUCUAAGGAACUCGGCAAAAUAACUCCGUAACUUCGGGAGAAGGAGUGCCUUAUUCUAUAAGGUUGCAAUAACAAGAUCCAAGCAACUGUUUAUCAAAAACACAGGUCUCCGCUAAGUCGUAAGACGAUGUAUGGGGGCUGACGCCUGCCCAGUGCCAGAAGGUUAAAGAAGUCGGUUAGCAAUUGCGAAGCUGGUAACUGAAGCCCUGGUGAACGGCGGCCGUAACGAUAACGGUCCUAAGGUAGCGAAAUUCCUUGUCGGGUAAGUUCCGACCCGCACGAAAGGCGUAAUGAUUUGGAUACUGUCUCGGAGAGGGACUCGGCGAAAUAGACUUGUCUGUGAAGAUGCGGACUACCUGCACCAGGACAGAAAGACCCUAUGAAGCUUUACUGUAACUUGAAAUUGAAAUUGGACUUUAUUCGCGCAGUAUAGGUGGGAGGCGUUGAUUAUAAUCUUGUGGGAUUAUUGGAGCCAUUAGUGAGAUACCACUCUUGUAAUGUUAGAUUUCUAACUUUGAAUCAUGAUCUGGUCAAAGAACAGUUUCAGGCGGGCAGUUUGACUGGGGCGGUCGCCUCCUAAAUGGUAACGGAGGCGUACAAAGGUUUCCUCUGAACGGGUAGAAAUCGUAUCUAGAGUGUAAAGGCAUAAGGAAGCUUGACUGUGAGACCUACAAGUCGAGCAGGGACGAAAGUCGGUCUUAGUGAUCUGACGGUACUGAGUGGAAAGGCCGUCACUCAACGGAUAAAAGUUACUCUAAGGAUAACAGGCUGAUCUCCCCCAAGAGUUCACAUCGACGGGGAGGUUUGGCACCUCGAUGUCGGCUCAUCGCAUCCUGGGGCGGUAGUACGUCCCAAGGGUUGGGCUGUUCGCCCAUGAAAGCGGUACGCGAGCUGGGUUCAGAACGUCGUGAGACAGUUCGGUCCAUAUCCGGUGUAGGCGUUAGAAUAUUGAGAGGAGCCUUCUUUAGUACGAGAGGACCGAGAAGGACAUACCUCUGGUGUACCAGUUAUCGUGCCAACGGUAAACGCUGGGUAGCUAUGUAUGGAGUGGAUAACCGCUGAAAGCAUCUAAGUGGGAAGCCCACCUCAAGAUAAGUAUUCUCAC